GCGGCCUAUCAGCUUGUUGGUGAGGUAAUGGCUUACCAAGGCGACGACGGGUAGCCGGCCUGAGAGGGUGACCGGCCACACUGGGACUGAGACACGGCCCAGACUCCUACAGGAGGCAGCAGUGGGGAAUAUUGCACAAUGGGCGCAAGCCUGAUGCAGCGACGCCGCGUGAGGGAUGACGGCCUUCGGGUUGUAAACCUCUUUCAGUAGGGAAGAAGCGUAAGUGACGGUACCUGCAGAAGAAGCGCCGGCUAACUACGUGCCAGCAGCCGCGGUAAUACGUAGGGCGCAAGCGUUAUCCGGAAUUAUUGGGCGUAAAGAGCUCGUAGGCGGUUUGUCGCGUCUGUCGUGAAAGUCCGGGGCUUAACCCCGGAUCUGCGGUGGGUACGGGCAGACUAGAGUGCAGUAGGGGAGACUGGAAUUCCUGGUGUAGCGGUGGAAUGCGCAGAUAUCAGGAGGAACACCGAUGGCGAAGGCAGGUCUCUGGGCUGUAACUGACGCUGAGGAGCGAAAGCAUGGGGAGCGAACAGGAUUAGAUACCCUGGUAGUCCAUGCCGUAAACGUUGGGCACUAGGUGUGGGGGACAUUCCACGUUUUCCGCGCCGUAGCUAACGCAUUAAGUGCCCCGCC
This 630-nucleotide ribosomal RNA is filed under the name uncultured bacterium. RNAcentral's name for it is "bacterial SSU rRNA". It matches the Rfam family "Bacterial small subunit ribosomal RNA", at positions 233 to 873 of the family's 1533-position model. The record is from RNAcentral.